Molecule: long non-coding RNA, 509 nt
Organism: Numida meleagris (helmeted guineafowl)
Lineage: Eukaryota; Metazoa; Chordata; Aves; Galliformes; Numididae
Exons: 4
Source: RefSeq, a predicted model, not a curated record
UCCUCCCCGCGGGGCGGGAACUGCGCAGCGCGGGACGGGACGCGGCGCCGGGAGGCUCCGGUUCAGCUGGUAACGGGUGAAGUUUCCAGUACGUACAAGCAGAAAUACCUUUCUACUCCAGAUACCGACGCAGCGCACUGCGGAUUGUAGGAAGAACUAAUUCUGCAUCUACCAGAAAAAACAGGGACGGUCACAACAGAGAAGCAGCAACAGAAGACCAGAAACAGAGCUUUCAUUGGAGUGAUGGGAGGAUGGUCUCCUGCAUCAUGGCCUUUUCUUGGACGAUUGAUGCCUUCUGAUAGCAAUGCUUUUACCUGGGUGAAGGAAGAGAGAGAAAACAGGCUGAAGUGGAUAGCAGGUCUCUAUUAUCAGAACAGUGACCACCAUAAAAUCUGUCUUGUGGGAAAUAAGAAGUCUGUCUGGAGAGUUCUGAACUGUAUUUCUCAGCAAGUUUAGCAAUGAAGACUUCCUGUCAUGAACGAUGACCAUUUCCAAAGUCAAUAUUAAGA